RNAcentral lists this ribosomal RNA (260 nucleotides) under uncultured bacterium. RNAcentral's name for it is "partial 16S ribosomal RNA". It matches the Rfam family "Bacterial small subunit ribosomal RNA", at positions 355 to 776 of the family's 1533-position model. The record is from RNAcentral.
UGGGGAAUAUUGCACAAUGGGGGAAACCCUGAAGCAGCAACGCCGCGUGGAGGAUGAAGGUUUUAGGAUUGUAAACUCCUUUUGUAAGAGAAGAUUAUGACGGUAUCUUACGAAUAAGCACCGGCUAACUCCGUGCCAGCAGCCGCGGUAAUACGGAGGGUGCAAGCGUUACUCGGAAUCACUGGGCGUAGAGAGCGCGUAGGCGGGAGAGUAAGUCAGAUGUGAAAUCCUGUAGCUCGAAAGUGUGGGUAUCAAACAGG